Molecule: ribosomal RNA, 484 nt
Filed under: uncultured bacterium
Lineage: Bacteria
Description: partial 16S ribosomal RNA
Rfam family: Bacterial small subunit ribosomal RNA
Source: RNAcentral
AUUGAACGCUGGCGGCAGGCCUAACACAUGCAAGUCGAGCGGAUGAAGGGAGCUUGCUCCUGGAUUCAGCGGCGGACGGGUGAGUAAUGCCUAGGAAUCUGCCUGUCAGUGGGUGAUAACGUCCGGAAACGGGCGCUAAUACCGCAUACGUCCUGAGGGAGAAAGGGGGGGAUCUUCGGACCUCACGCUAUCAGAUGAGCCUAGGUCGGAUUAGCUAGUUGGUGGGGUAAAGGCCUACCAAGGCGACGAUCCGUAACUGGUCUGAGAGGAUGAUCAGUCACACUGGAACUGAGACACGGUCCAGACUCCUACGGGAGGCAGCAGUGGGGAAUAUUGGACAAUGGGCGAAAGCCUGAUCCAGCCAUGCCGCGUGUGUGAAGAAGGUCUUCGGAUUGUAAAGCACUUUAAGUUGGGAGGAAGGGCAGUAAGUUAAUACCUUGCUGUUUUGACGUUACCAACAGAAUAAGCACCGGCUAACUUCGUG